Molecule: long non-coding RNA, 367 nt
Organism: Cercocebus atys (sooty mangabey)
Lineage: Eukaryota; Metazoa; Chordata; Mammalia; Primates; Cercopithecidae
Exons: 3
Source: RefSeq, a predicted model, not a curated record
GGAGGGAAUUUUUGUCCAACGUGCACCUUGACAGAGCUUCACUGACCACGGGCUGUGUCUCCCUGCGGCCGCGCAGCGCACCUCGGACCACAGACCUCUCUCUGGAGCCGUGUGUUUGCUCCUCACCUGACAGGCUGUGUGAGAACCCAUCUGUGCUUCCCCAGGACGUCUGACUGCAUGCACCCCCCGACUGUGCAUGGGAACCCUGCUGGGCCUGUGAUCUGUCCAGGGGAUGGAUGAGGAAGAGACAAGAAAUGAUGCCCAACUGUGGCCUCCAGACUGACGCCUCCUGACACCGCGUGCUCGGUAGACACAAGCAAAGAGGCAACUAAGAAAUUAGAAGAUUGUAUAAGAAGCUGCAUAGAAU